This is an RNA transcript of Lotus japonicus, 6908 nucleotides long. RefSeq lists it as uncharacterized. The record is from RefSeq and is a predicted model, not a curated record. The transcript has 21 exons. NCBI's taxonomy places the organism in Eukaryota, Viridiplantae, Streptophyta, Magnoliopsida, Fabales, Fabaceae.
UGCGGUUGUAUCAUUCGUGUGAACCUAAACAUAGGACUCCACGAACACAAACACAAACACAAAAACAGAAACUGAGUUCUAUCGGUUCCUCAAUUCAUGCUCUGUUCACUUCACUGAUUCUCUUCCUCUUGUCAGGUUGAAAAUCGAAUUCUAAAUGCUAAAUCUGAGUUCUAGGGUCUUCAUGUUGAACUUCAGUUUCAAUUUUGUAGAAUCAUGAGUGAUCUUUGGCAUUAUGUUAAUAUAGCUUAGCUUUUUCUAAAAAAAGAAGUUUUUUUUUUUUUAAUUUGGUGAAGGUAACAAGUGAUGGGUAGACGAAAAAGUAAACCGCGUAGAUCAGGUGGGGUAAUACUAGAAACAAAUGCUACUGCUGACACAGAAUUUGAUAAAGAGAAGGUUGGAGAAGCAGGGGAAGAAGCAAGGGAUAAUUCUGGUGACAUUGAUGAACCUUAUUUUGUUGAGGUUGACCGGUCCAGUUGGUUGUCAAGUGAACAUCUUGAUAUUUCUGAAGUUAUUUUAAGUGAUUUAAAUUUGAGAGAAGGUUUUUCUGGGUUUGAACUAUCUGAGGGGUUUUAUCAGGAUCCCCAGUACUCGUUAAGAUUUCGGGUGUGUAAUGUCAAUAAUGUUCUUGGUAGAAUUAAAUUAGGCCAUUGGCCUGUGUUACCCUAUACUGAUAUUCAUCUAGAGUUAGUAAAAUGGGACACAGUAGACAAUGUGGAAACAUGUACAGUGUUAUUAUCUGGUAUUUUUGAUGGACCUGAUGAAGGUGUUUCUGGUCUUCUUCACUUGGCAAGUUUAAAAUUUGUAACAUUGAGGACAGUUCUUGGGGUUAGGCUUUCUGAGGACAUUCAUUCCCUCAGGAUAAGGGUUGAGGUACUAAAGAGUGCCUUCGAUGCAUGCGAGUCGCUUCUCGAGGCUUCUAGACAAUUAUGGAAAAAGAGUAUGAUGAAUGUCAUGUCUUGGCUACGUCCAGAAAUAAUGAUUUCCGAAGUUAGGUAUGGGUUUGGUAACUGCAAGAAAAUGGAAGUUGACCAGAAGACAGAGACGGGAGACGGCAGGAAAUAUUCGAGGUUUGAUCCUGCAGGUUUUUAUGAGGCCAUUAAGCCUUCAAAAUCCGAGCCAAUGCUCGAAGAUGAAAUACCAGAGUUACUUCCUGAACUGAGGCCAUAUCAACGGCGUGCAGCUUUCUGGAUGGUAGAACGGGAGAAAGCACUGAAAGAAAGUCAGGGUGAAAGAGAAAGAAAUCAGUUUCAUUCUCCAUUAUGUGUGCCUGUGGAUUUUCUGGACACAAGGUCUAAAAUGUUUUUCAAUCCAUUCAGCUAUAAUAUCUUCAGUGGAAAUAUUUCAUUGUGCCCAGAGACUCCUUCACCUUAUGUACUUGGAGGCAUUCUUGCUGAUGAGAUGGGCUUGGGUAAAACUGUUGAAUUGCUCGCUUGCAUCUAUGCUCACCGGAGAUCAGCAUCUGGAAGCGACACACUAAUUGAGUCAGUGCCCCAAGUUAACGGGGACCAAAAUAUCACUUUAAAAAGACUCAAAAGAGAACGAGUGGAGUGCAUAUGUGGGGCUGUGAACGAAAGUAUCAAAUAUCAAGGGCUAUGGGUUCAAUGUGACAUUUGCGAUGCUUGGCAACAUGCAGAUUGUGUUCGUUAUUCACCUAAAGGAAAAUCACUGAAAUCAAAACAAGGAUCUGAAAGCAAGACAUAUAAAACUACCAUAGCUGUGAGGGAUGGGGAAUAUGUAUGUCAGAUGUGCUCUGAACUAAUACAAGCUACUGAAUCUCCUAUUGCCUCCGGUGCCACUCUCAUUGUCUGCCCUGCUCCUAUUUUGCCCCAGUGGCAUGAUGAAAUUAUACGUCAUACACGUCCAGGCUCCUUGAAAACUUGUAUUUAUGAAGGCGUGCGGGACACAUCUUUCUCCAAUACGUCUCUGAUGGAUAUCAGUGAUCUUGCAAGUGCUGACAUUGUAAUAACUACAUAUGAUGUGCUUAAAGAGGAUUUGUCCCAUGAUUCUGAUAGACACGAAGGUGAUCGACACUUAUUGAGAUUUCAAAAAAGAUACCCGGUUAUCCCAACUCUUCUUACCAGAAUAUACUGGUGGAGGGUUUGUUUGGAUGAGGCUCAAAUGGUGGAGAGUAAUGCUACUGCUGCCACUGAAAUGGCUCUGAGACUCCAUUCGAAGCAUCAUUGGUGCAUUACAGGGACCCCGAUUCAGCGAAAGCUUGAUGACUUAUAUGGACUUCUAAGAUUCCUUAAAGUUAGUCCUUUCAAUACAUACAGGUGGUGGGCUGAAGUUCUUCGAGAUCCUUAUGAGAAAGGAGAUAUUGGAGCUAUGGAAUUUACACACACAAUUUUCAAGCAAAUCAUGUGGCGUUCUUCUAAAAAACAUGUUGCAGAUGAAUUGGACCUUCCAUCCCAAGAGGAGUGCCUCUCUUGGCUUACACUCUCACCAGUAGAAGAGCACUUUUACCAGAGGCAACAUGAAACUUGUGUUAGAGAUGCCCAUGAAGUUAUUGAAAGUUUGAGAAAUGAUAUUCUAAAUAGAAAAGUCCCAGGUUCUGAAUCUUUGAAUGAUUCCUCUGAUCCUUUAAUCACCCACACAGAGGCAGGGAAGCUACUGAAUGCUUUACUGAAACUUCGUCAGGCUUGUUGUCAUCCCCAGGUUGGAAGUUCUGGUUUGCGUUCCCUGCAGCAGUCACCUAUGACCAUGGAGGAAAUACUAAUGGUUCUUAUAAAUAAGACCAAGAUCGAAGGGGAGGAAGCUCUUAGGAGGUUAGUUGUUUCUCUGAAUGGGCUUGCAGCAAUAGCUACAAUUCAACAAGAUUUUUCUCAAGCUGCAUUAUUGUACAAUGAAGCCCUUACUUUGACUGAAGAGCAUUCUGAAGAUUUCCGCCUGGAUCCUUUGUUAAAUAUUCACAUUCAUCAUAAUCUUGCUGAAACACUCCCGCUGGCAGAAAAUGUUGCAUUGAUAUUGCCUUCCAAAGGAAAGCAAUUCUCUGGAACUUCUGCAGUUAAGUCAACCAGAAAGCAUUUUAUUGCAAAGGUUGAUCGUUGUCUUGUGAAGAGGCAAAAAAUAAGUGGCUGCGAUGAUAAAAAUUUAGAAGUGGCUUCUGCAGAACCAUCACAUAUUGCAUCCAGCCUUUCAGAAAAUGACUUAAAUGAGGAUUUGAAAUUUGAUGAUUUAUCAGCCAGUCCUGUCAAAUCUCUGAUAGCAGAAUGUGAAGAUUCAAAAAAGAAAUACUUAUCUGUGUUUAAUUCAAAAUUAUCUGCUGCUCAACAAGAGUUUCAGAAUUCUUCCACGCAGGUUCGUAAUGCAUAUCGCGAAAGCAGAACAGAUCAAAAUACAUGUUGGUGGUUAGAAGCACUUCAUCAUGCUGAGCAGAACAAGGAUUUCUCAACUGAGUUGAUUAGAAAGAUUGAAGAAGCCAUCUCAGGAAAUUCAAACAAUUCAAAAUCAUCAAGGAUAGCUGCUCGUUUUCGGGGCAUAAGCUCUCUGAAGUAUCAAAUUCAGACAGGUUUAGACCAGUUAGAGGCAUCUAGGAAAGUGCUACUAGAACGACUGUUAGAAAUCGAUCACACGAUGGAAAAUCCGAAGGGUGAAGAUAUUGAACGUGUGGGUAAAUGUCGAAAUUGUCAACCUAAUUGUGAUGGUCCCCCAUGCGUUCUGUGUGAGCUAGACGAACUGUUUCAGGGCUAUGAAGCAAGACUUUUUGUUCUCAAGAACGAACGUGGAGGGAUUAUUUCAUCUGCUGAGGAGGCAGUAGAUCUUCAGAAGAAAAAAUUUGCAUUGAAUCAUUUCCUCUCAAAGCUAUCACAAUCUAAUCACAGUUCAACAGUAUCAGAUAUUGAUAAUGAGGAAUCAAAAAAACGGAAUGUCGGACAAAGAGUUGUGGUUUCAAGAUCAGCAUCUGAGUUGGAGCUUAUUCUUGGAGCUAUGAAGAACUAUUGCAAGGCUCGGUUAGGCAGGGGCAGUGUCUCAGCAGCCACUAGGCAUUUACAUAUGCUUGAGGGAAUGCGAAAGGAGUUUGCCCAUGCAAGGUCUUUAGCAUUAGCUCAAGCUCAAUAUCUACGUGCGCAUGAUGAAAUAAAGAUGGCAGUUUCCCGUUUGCACCUAAGGGCAAAUGAGGAUGAUAAAUCUCUUGAUGCUUUAGGUGAAAAUGAAUUAGUUGCGGCUAGUUCAGACUUUUCCCAUGAGAAGUAUAUGUCAUUGGCCUUGUUGUCACAGAUAAAGGGAAAACUGCGCUACUUACAGGGUUUGGUGCAGUCCAAGCAAAAACUGUCAUUGGAAUCUCCAGAUAGUUCUUCAUUCAUUCAAGAGACAACUAAAAUAUCAAACACUAAGGAAGAGAAGGGUGCGCUCAUAUCUAAAACUGAUGAGGAAACAUGCCCAGUUUGCCAAGAAAAGCUAGGCAAUCAGAGAAUGGUAUUUCAGUGUGGGCAUUUUACAUGCUGUAAAUGUUUAUUUGCGAUGACUGAGCAAAGACUUCAACAUAGCAAGACUCAUAAUUGGGUGAUGUGCCCUACAUGUCGACAACAUACUGAUUUUGGAAACAUUGCCUAUGCUGUUGAUGCACAUAAUGAAUCUUCCAAUUCUUCAAUGCAGCAUACAGUUGACAGCUGUGAAAAAUGUGAAACAUCCAUUAGUGUUAAAGGCUCAUAUGGAACUAAGAUUGAAGCCGUCACAAGAAGAAUCUUGUCAAUAAAGGCUACAGAUCAUAAAGAAAAAGUUCUUGUAUUUUCAAGCUGGAAUGAUGUACUUGAUGUAUUGGAACAUGCCUUUGCUGCCAACAACAUUACCUUCGUCCGGAUGAAAGGAGGCAGAAAGGCACAAGUUGCCAUCAAUCAAUUUAGGGGAAAGCAGAAUGGCACAAAAGGAUGUGAGAAGUCAACACCAAAAUCUAUUCAAGUAUUAUUGCUUUUAAUCCAACAUGGAGCCAAUGGCCUCAAUCUUUUGGAAGCACAGCAUGUAGUCCUUGUAGAGCCAUUGCUCAAUCCAGCUGCUGAAGCACAAGCAAUCAGCCGUGUACAUCGUAUUGGACAAAAGAAUAAGACCCUCAUUCAUCGUUUCAUUGUAAAAGACACAGUUGAAGAUAGCAUAUAUAAAUUGAACAGGAGCAGGAGCAACCAUUCAUUCAUUAGUGGGAACACAAAAAACCAAGAUCAACCUGUUUUGACCCUGAAGGAUGUUGAGUCCUUGCUGUCAAGAACACCAGUAACCAUGCCAGAAAGUGAUGAAAAUCCUAUUGCAAAUGCAGACCUGAGAAACUUUCCACCAUCAAUGGCUGCGGCUAUAGCUGCUGAGAGGAGACUUAAUGAUCAUAGGACAUGAUUUUGUUUUUCUCCUCAUCUCAGAUGGUUCAAAAGAUGCUGGUAGAGUAGGCACGUGUGCAACCGUGCAAUAAUCAGUUGGCGAUGUCGUUGCAGUUGACAAGAUCCCAUCCAUUAGCGGCACUUUACUUGCAAUUUGGAGACAUUAACACAAGCUGGAGAGGAAGGGGUAGUGGCUGACGAAGACCAGGCUGACUCAAGGUUCUUAUAUAAGGUGGUUAAGGAGAUAAAUCUCAUUAUCCUAGCACUUCCUGUACAAUCAAUGUUGCGUUGGUGAAGUUCAAGGAAGUUGACACUCAUUAGAAAAAUUCCAGAGUGUUCUGGCUGAGCUGAAUGCUAAGAUGGAACGAGUUGAUAAGCUUUUGUCAAACUAUUACAGUGAUGGUGUUGAAGGACUUCAAACGAAAGAUCCAAUAGCUGGUUCUAGCAGUGUUGGCGGAACUUUUGAGACCAAAAACCGAGGAAAGAAGGCUAUAAAUAAUGUUCUUAUUAUGGGAAAAGAUAUUAUAAGCAUUCAAUUUGACAUCUUUGAAGAUAAUCAAAGCAGGCCACAAAUCCUUCAAAUGUAGGAUCUGGAAAACAACCCCAACUUGCUGGUGUUCUCUAUACUUCGAAGACACUUACUAGAAAAGAUCCAACUAAAGCAACGACUUACAAAAAGUCAUCGUAGUGCUUUAUCAACACAUGUAAGUUUACCUUGAUUAUGUUGGUCUGUGGUGAACCUUGGUCUUAUCUCACAUUUUUCUUUGGAAUUUUUUUUUCGGUACAGCGGAAAACUAUGCCUCUUUGGUCUGCUUCACAUGCAUUUUUUCCUUUGGUCUUUAAAAUGGUUCAAUUUCAUGUUAAAUUAAAAGAAAAUGAGAAUUGAGGUAUGCAUUAGUCAGAGUCAGUCCUUAGGGUUCGCUAUCAUGCACAAUUUUUUUUGUAAUCUUGCACACUCCAAAAUUCCCCCUUAGCCUGUAUUUUCUUUUUUUUUAAAUAAAAAAAAAUACUUUUUCACAUCUCUUUAAGAUAUUAUACUAUGGCCCAAUAAUAAUGUUAUUUGAUUUAGGUCCUCCUAAUUAAGCAUAUCUAAGUUGGUCAUCUAUAAAAAAAAGAUUGGAUUUUUAGCCUUGAGGGAAAGUUAUAAACGUAUGUGUUAAAACUGACAUUUUUCUAAUCAAAUAACACAAUGUAAGUAAUAAAAAAAGACUUACAUGUGUUGAUAAAGCACUACAAAGACUUUUGGUAAGUCAUUGAUUCAUUGUGGGUUUGGUUGGAUCCUUUCUAGUAAAUAUCUUCAAAGUAUACCGAACACCAGCAAGUUUGUUUUACAGAUCCUACAUUAGAAAGCUUCGUGGUCUGCCAAUGUUGUAGUGUUGUGACUAAGGUUCACCAUGGAACUUAUUCUUUGGUGUUGUAGUGAUGAUUAAGACAAGGUUGCAAUCCUAGUCUCGUAUACUACCAAGACAAGGCUUGUGUUAUGGUGUUCUGAACAUCAUUUUCUUUCUUUUUAUGCACAGUGAAUUUAAGACAACAAACAAAACAGGAAAAAAAUAUCAUCAACAUGCUAACUGCUAACAUGAUAAAAAUUCAAAAUUUGUAUAA